Molecule: ribosomal RNA, 252 nt
Filed under: uncultured bacterium
Lineage: Bacteria
Description: partial 16S ribosomal RNA
Rfam family: Bacterial small subunit ribosomal RNA
Source: RNAcentral
UACGGAGGAUGCGAGCGUUAUCCGGAUUUAUUGGGUUUAAAGGGUGCGUAGGCGGAAUAUCAAGUCAGCGGUAAAAAUUCGGGGCUCAACCCCGUCGUGCCGUUGAAACUGAUGUUCUUGAGUGGGCGAGAAGUAUGCGGAAUGCGUGGUGUAGCGGUGAAAUGCAUAGAUAUCACGCAGAACUCCGAUUGCGAAGGCAGCAUACCGGCGCCCAACUGACGCUGAAGCACGUAAGCGUGGGUAUCGAACAGG